Long non-coding RNA from Lepisosteus oculatus (spotted gar), 918 nucleotides. RefSeq lists it as uncharacterized. The record is from RefSeq and is a predicted model, not a curated record. Lineage: Eukaryota; Metazoa; Chordata; Actinopteri; Semionotiformes; Lepisosteidae.
CCCCUAAAUUGUGAGCGUUAGCUCCUUUUUGAUGCUGGGGUGAGAGGAACAAAGUAGAAGACGAUGUGGAAAGCUGAUCCUAGGGGUGGCACAUGUGGUGUGCUGUGCAAUGCUGGCGUAUGCACAAAAGAUUAUUUCAACGAUGUGAGACAAAAAAGAAGACGCGUGGAGGAGAAGGGAACACGGAAUUCCUUCGUUGCCCAUUGAAAGGUCUUGAUCCUUUUGGAGAUGGAGUGUAAUUGAAGUUUGCAAGAACAGGAGCACUUCACCCUACUGAGGUUAAAGGGACUGUGGGGCUGCACUGUCUGGUACCAUUAUCUCCACUCGGCAGUGUUCCUGGGGAUUACAGAGGAGUCUACACGAAUGCUCUAGACCUGCUUUUGCCCGGUUUGAAGACCAGCUGCUUCUGAUCUUGUGGGGAAUCCUCUCAUUUGCAAAUGUGGGGGACCAUCUUGACCAAUUAACCAUGAAAAAACAAUAGGCUUCUCACAUCCAAGCCCUUUUUUUCAUGGAAGCCGGAAUAUCGGCUUCAACAUGGCAUAGGGAACAAGCCAACCAGUCCUCAACCCAUCGGCCAUAAACUUGUGUUGCAGACAUUUCAACAACCAUGUAAAACAAGAGCCCUGGUUUUGGUUUAUUAGAAGCUGUUUUCAGAGAAGUAUGUGUGAAGAGACGAAAUCAAUUUUAGGGUGUUGCAGAUAAGGUCACAUUAAUGUAAAAAUGAGAUUUCAAACAUUAUCCAGGAAUUCUUAUAUGGCUUUAUAUAUAUAUAUGUGGAGCCUUUUGGUUCUCACACUAGUUAUUUUACCACAAGAGUUAAAUUCUUGUAAAUUCUGGUAAUAUUCCAGGCUUACUCUGAAGCCUUAAUUCUUAAGUGUAAUGUAAUUUUGUGCCAAAUAAAUAUUUUUAAUGAAACAU